RNAcentral lists this transfer RNA (126 nucleotides) under Aspergillus parasiticus. RNAcentral's name for it is "tRNA-Met". It matches the Rfam family "tRNA". Rfam says of the family: Transfer RNA (tRNA) molecules are approximately 80 nucleotides in length. Their secondary structure includes four short double-helical elements and three loops (D, anti-codon, and T loops). Lineage: Eukaryota; Fungi; Ascomycota; Eurotiomycetes; Eurotiales; Aspergillaceae. The record is from RNAcentral.
AGCAUGUUAGCUCAGGGGAAGAGCGCCGGGCUCAUAACCCGGAGGUACGAUUUCACCUCACCAACCAAUCACAAUUCAAAUUCACUAACAAAAAAUAGGUCCCUGGAUCGAAACCAGGACAUGCUA